GUAACUGGUGUUGUGCGAUAAAGAACAUGUCAAUGCUAAGUCUCUUAUGCGCAUAUAGGCCCUCUGUCAAUAUGAAACUGAUCAUGCUUGUUGGUAUGAAUGUGGACUGGAUAAACUGGGAUAGUAUAUAUACCUUGAAUGAUGCUUGCUUUGGUUAGAGGUUGCAGUCGGACCAAAAGACGCGGCAGAUCGAACUGAAAAAUGACAAGUAUAUGUGGUUGCUUAAUGAAUGCAGGUGAAUAUCAAGGUGGGGGUGGACGAAUUUACACAAGGUCUCACCUUGAACUUGGCAGGGCACCGAAUGAAGAGCUCCUUCCUGUUUUGCUAGAAACCUUAAGUGUGGAAUGAGAAUGAAGUUCUUGUUUGCAAAGAGAGGUAAAAAGGGAGGAGGGCUGUAUUGUUGGGGUGCGAGAAUGCAGCAGGCUCAAGAGAAGUUAGGGGAGUGUGCAGCACAUGUCUCCACCCCCUUUUCCUUUUCCCAUUUUCUUGAACUUAGGGGGGGUGGCAGGUGGUGGAGUAGGAAAGUGGUAGAGUGUAAACCGUAA
RNAcentral lists this long non-coding RNA (545 nucleotides) under Salvia miltiorrhiza (redroot sage). RNAcentral describes it as "long non-coding RNA (SMIL_LNC000305)". Lineage: Eukaryota; Viridiplantae; Streptophyta; Magnoliopsida; Lamiales; Lamiaceae. The record is from RNAcentral.